UACGGAGGGUGCAAGCGUUAAUCGGAAUUACUGGGCGUAAAGCGAGCGCAGGCGGUUUGUUAAGUCAGAUGUGAAAUCCCCGGGCUCAACCUGGGAAUGGCAUUUGAAACUGGCAAACUUGAGUGUAGAAGAGGGGGGUAGAAUUCCAGGUGUAGCGGUGAAAUGCGUAGAGAUGUGGAGGAAUACCGGUGGCGAAGGCGGCCCCCUGGACGAAGACUGACGCUCAGGCGCGAAAGCGUGGGGAGCAAACAGG
RNAcentral lists this ribosomal RNA (253 nucleotides) under uncultured bacterium. Its description in RNAcentral is "partial 16S ribosomal RNA". It matches the Rfam family "Bacterial small subunit ribosomal RNA", at positions 524 to 776 of the family's 1533-position model. The record is from RNAcentral.